RNAcentral lists this ribosomal RNA (585 nucleotides) under uncultured bacterium. Its description in RNAcentral is "bacterial SSU rRNA". It matches the Rfam family "Bacterial small subunit ribosomal RNA", at positions 58 to 652 of the family's 1533-position model. The record is from RNAcentral.
CAAGUCGAGCGGAGACAGUGAGUAGCUUGCUAUGAGCUGUUUUAGCGGCGGACGGGUGAGUAACGCGUGAGCAACCUUUCCCAGACAGGGGAAUAACACACCGAAAGGUGUACUAAUACCGCAUAAGACCACGGGAUCACAUGGUUCUGGGGUAAAAGAUUUAUCGGUUUGGGGUGGGCUCGCGUCCGAUUAGGUAGUUGGUGAGGUAACGGCCCACCAAGCCGACGAUCGGUAGCCGACCUGAGAGGGCGAUCGGCCACAUUGGGACUGAGACACGGCCCAAACUCCUACGGGAGGCAGCAGUGGGGAAUAUUGGGCAAUGGGGGGAACCCUGACCCAGCAACGCCGCGUGGAGGAAGAAGGUUUUCGGAUCGUAAACUCCUGUCCUUGGAGACGAGUAGAAGACGGUAUCCAAGGAGGAAGCCCCGGCUAACUACGUGCCAGCAGCCGCGGUAAUACGUAGGGGGCAAGCGUUGUCCGGAAUAAUUGGGCGUAAAGGGCGCGUAGGCGGCUCGGUAAGUCUGGAGUGAAAGUCCUGCUUUUAAGGUGGGAAUUGCUUUGGAUACUGUCGGGCUUGAGUGCAGG